RNA transcript from Lactuca sativa (garden lettuce), 952 nucleotides. RefSeq lists it as uncharacterized. NCBI's taxonomy places the organism in Eukaryota, Viridiplantae, Streptophyta, Magnoliopsida, Asterales, Asteraceae. The record is from RefSeq and is a predicted model, not a curated record.
GCAAUUCUUUGUGCUACCACCAACAUUAUAUCAAGUUUCUCUGCAAAAGUCUUUCUAUACAGUAUUUUCUUUUAUAUUUUACGUAAAAAUAACUUGUUUUUUUAUCACUCUAACUAUUUCGUCACCCAAAAGUAUCAUUAUCCGUUGCUCCAAAACUUGCCCUUUAUAAAGCAACCAAAGGAUCUUUGGCUUUUGGAGAGAUCUUUGCAAUCAAUUUGGCUCUUGGAAUCCAAAAGUGAAGCAAAACAAAUUGGCUUUUGGGAUUUUAUAAGAAGAUUAGGCUCCUGGGCUAUACACCAUAGAAGCUUGGUUAGUGGAGAUAGAGAGAUGGCUAGGGAACGAUGGAAUACUACCAAUGGGAUCCAUGGGCUUGAUUCAAUACUUGGUUUUUGGGCAGGUGUAAUGAUGUUUGCAUUAGUCCUUUUUGCAGUCAUAAUCUUUUCAUGUGCUGAAGGAGCGGAAUCAAAAGACAAAAAUGAUGGCGGAGGAGACACCACGGCCUAUGGUGGCAGUGAGUGUGUUGCAGGGUGUGGUGCAGGAUGCGGUGGCUAGCUGGAAGUCCAUUUGAUCAUAAUUGACCAGUGCCAACGACUGAAUGAAAGGCCUUUUAGAAACGUCGACAGUCCAGUUUCAGGCCAACUUCAUCAGUUCGUAUCAGUUUUUUUUCAUGGAUAAUGGAUUUUUUACAAAAAAAAAUAAGAAAAACAAAAAAAUAUGUUAAUAUUGAUUACAAUUACAAAAUACAAAUAUAGUUUGGAAAAUGAAGUAAAUAUAAUUCUUAAAUCUUUGUUUCUUCAAUCAUUAAAAUAUAUACAAUAUUCAAUCUUUAAUCGUCCAUGUUUUAUAUUUAUUUGUCCUUAAUAAUUGUAAGUAAAUUAGAACCAACAUUAUUGAUUUCCUAUUCCUUGGUACUUAUUUGAAUACGAUUUUAAGCAUCUAAGUGUUUUAUCUA